UGUCGAGAUCAAUUCUGUGCUUCCAACUUUGUGGCAAUAGUUUGGGGAAGGCCCUUUCCUGUUUCAGCAUGACAAAGCUCCCUGUGCACAAAGCGAGUUCCAUACAGUAAUGGUUUGUCGAGAACAGUAUGGAAGAACUUGGCACGCACAGAGCCCUGACCUUAACCCAUCCCUUUGGGAUGUUGGCCUAAUCGCCCAAAUCAGUGCCUGACCUCACGUCUUGUGACUGAAUAGAAGCAACAUCUACUGGAAAUCCUUCCCAGAAGAGUGGAGGCUGUUAUAGCAGCAAAGGGGGGACCAAGUCCAUAUUAAUACUUAAUUAAUAUGGAAUAAGAUGUUUGGCGAGCAUACCACAUACUUUUGGCCAUGUAGUGUAUAUAGUUUAGAUCUUAAUUUUUCCAUUGGCCAGAUUUCGUUUUUUAAAUUUAUAUUGCCUUCAUCGAAGACCUUGAUAUGAAAAGUCACUUUUCCAAUAUGUUCCAGCAUAUGUAGAUCUUUGGUUAAUAAAAUGGUUAUAGGUUUUAGAGCUUGUGUUUAAAAAAAAAAGAGAGAAGAAAUUUAAAUGGAAAGCAAGGGGCAAAGUAUCUUUACAUAUAGGCUAAAUUGGACAUGAGGACCAGUGUGACUGUAUGUGUGGACACUUGUAAACAUUCUAGGGGAUCAAUUUAAGCAUGAUGCCUUCACUUUUUAUAACAAUCACAGGAAUACACAUUCACACCUCAGUCAUCAAACUUUCUCUCCAUAAUGUCUGGGGCUUUGGGAGCGAGACCCAGGCGCUUUGCUGCAACAACAUUACACGUCUCUGCUGGAGUGAUAAGCAAAACUCACUUUUCUCUGGCCUCUGGGAAUGUAGUCCCUCCCCACGUCUCACAUGACCUCCCGUUGGAACUGAUCAAAUAUAUCAGAUAGAAAUCCAACUAAGCAAACCACUUUAAGAUUAGACAGGCUAGCUUUAAACUCGCAUUUUCUGGGGAACUCGUUUUUUUAUUUGCAGACAGUGAUGCAUGAAUGCUUUCUAUUAUUAUACCAUGAAUACUAGCCUAGUAACUUAACUGGUUUCACCUCUGUUUGGUUUAAAUGUAAAAUGGAAAUGUGGAAAGCCCUGCUGGUGGCAAGUGCAUGCAGAGGGCUUCCUUUAAGCAUGCCUUUCAGGAUCUGAUGGUAAUCAACUGCCAUUUUGGGCCUCACCUUUUCUCAAAAGGACAAAAACUAAUGGGCUUUUCACACACAGUACAUUGUGUGGUUUGACCUUGUACUGGACAAACAUUUUCCUUUUCUUUGUUUUCUUUUGGUUUAAGUGAACUUCCUGUGCGAUCCUGAUCAUAAUAUUCUGUGAGAGUAUUUACUUCAAUUGGACCAUCAAAUUCAUUAAUUGUCUUAAAUGGAGCCAUUAGGCUCUCCAGGUUUGAUGGAAACGUAUUGGUUUCUAUUAUUCAGUAUGUAACCUAUUGAAACCUUAAGCCUCAAGCUUAAGUAAUAAAAGUAGGAGUGAUUUGGUUUGAGAAUAAAACAACAUGCGGCUGUAUUUUUUUAUAAUUUAAAAUAGGAAAUGUUUUCCCUAUCGGGUUAAUUAUUAGACAUGCGAUUAAACAUGAUAUUAAAUCGUUUCCAUGUUUUUUUUCAAAGGAUUUACUCAUUAUUUCAACCUUUCACAUCUGAAGGGAAACACUUUAAACAAAUAUUAUCCUAUGAGCUAUGACAAGAUAAUUUCAAACCGUUCUCAAUGGGUCUCUACUACUUGGUCUCAGCCUUGGUCUUCAUUACACCUACCUCAGAACAUGCGACAAACCUCAUGGCAAUGUUUGUCGCCGUGGGUGUCAGAAGAACAGUUGCAGGCAAUCCUAUCAUUAGAUGAGAAAUGUUUGUAGCCUUGCUGCGUCACAGUAUUUGGAUGUAGAAGUGAGCUGUAGACUACAGUUGGUUAUGGAUUGGUUUUCAUUUCUGAUAGGAAAAAAUUUAAAUCGUUAUCUCAUUCUUUCUGGUUACCAUGAUAACAUGCACCUGCUUAUUGCACGUAUAUUCCUUGAUAUGGCUUUCUGUGAUGUUAUAAAACUGUAGUGCAUGACGUUGUUACUGUUAUUGCUCUUCCAGCUACGUUUUCCCUUCUCGCUAAUUAUUACAGCUAAAAUGGCUCCUGGGUCCCUGGACGCCAUGUUGUGUGUGACGGGGGAAGAAAAUUAGUCGCGCAAUGCCGUGGACGCAGUCCCCACAAAGAGCCAACUGAUCUGGGCUGACGCUGGAUGUGCCUGUAAAAUAGUCCAGUCAUGGCUCUAUCUGAUACCAUCUUCCUUUCCAAAAUUAGACGACCCCCAUCAACAGUAGUCAUGGAUUUCUUAUUUUCUUUGAUUCUAUUGAUGUUUUUAAAGGAAUAAUUUUGCCAAAUUGAAAUUAAUCACAAUGUAUGUCAUUAAAUGAAUCUUCAAUUAAUCACAGAAAUGUGUUUUAAACCUGUACUCAAAACAGAUUUAAGAAACGUAUGUUAUUGUAAUUGAGGGUGAUCAGAUUGGGGAAUGCUGGAGUUGUUGCGUAUGCUUGUGUUGUGGCAUAUUUUUCUGAGGUAUUUCCAGUGAGACAAGAUGUGCAUUCACGCUCAAAACUGAGGCGUUCCAGCUGUGCUUUGAACGGCUAAGGACGCAGUGGUACGCAAAAGGCCAGAUGAACGGAGGGAGGGAGGUAGGGCUAUCGACCUCUGUCCCACGCAUGCUGGGUGAGUAACCAAUGCACCACUGCCCCGCUCAAAUUCACCUACCCCCCCCUUCAAUCUGCAGCACAACGCCCAACCCUCUCACUCUGAUCCCAUAACCAGUAUAUCUACAGGCCUACAACACCGUCGCCUAGAGAACAUUCCACAGCUGCGUUAGCUUAGAAGAUAUGGAUGUCAAGAGGACAACAUUCAGUAUUCUACGUUCCCUGUCUAGUUGGUUAAGUAAAUUCUACAUAUUCUAAUCACCCUGUUAAAUUGUCUGAUUACAAUUUGCGAACAUUGAUUGGGAACCUUAAUGUAAUCAUGUGGUUGAUUUAAGAUAUAUUAGGCUAUUUUUACACAGGCAGCCCAAUUCGGAUCUUUUGCCAGUAAUUGGGCUUUUGCCAAUCAGAUUAGAUCUUUUGCCAAUAAUUGGGCAGAACAUCAGAAUUUGGCUGCCUGUGUAAAUGCAGCCAAACAUCAAAAUUCCACCAUGUAUUUUUGUUAAGUUUGUAUUGCUGUGUUUAUUGAGGACUUCAGUGGCCUCCCUCAAUGAAUGAGAGCUGGACUAUAUCGGCCUACGAUACACUGUGCACGGUUUCAAUCAAAGUUUCCUUACCUUUCUGUCACGUUAUAGUUUUAAAUUGGCACUAAUCAUAUCACUACGAAACAGGUUUUCCUCCAGUUUCCCAAUUUUUCGUCCAUUGGAAUUCCUGACAACAUUUUUACAGAGACUUGUUUGAACGCAUGUGGAUUAGGACUGAAAACUAUAUGUACGACCAAGCUUUAUGAGAAAUCAGGGAAAAUACUGUACAUCUGUAGAUUACUGUUAUUUGUCCAUUACAGAAAAUGAAAGACAGGUUGCUGAUUGCAGAACCAUUUAUUGAAAGAUAUAGAAAUGAAUCACCUGAUGCUUAAUUGAGAAUUUGUUUUAAUUUGUAGCUGUCAAAUUCAUUUCAAUUAAGACACGUUGUUCUUUGUAAGUCUCAAUAAAUGACAUUGAAACAAC
Molecule: long non-coding RNA, 3692 nt
Organism: Salvelinus namaycush (lake trout)
Lineage: Eukaryota; Metazoa; Chordata; Actinopteri; Salmoniformes; Salmonidae
Exons: 2
Source: RefSeq, a predicted model, not a curated record